GCGCAGCAGUCGAGAAUUUUCUCAAUGGGGGCAACCCUGAAGGAGCGACGCCGCGUGGAGGAUGAAGGCUUUCGGGUUGUAAACUCCUGUCAUUUGGGAACAAGUUGCGAGUAUUAACCGUGCUCGUAUUGAUAGUACCAGAAGAGGAAGGGACGGCUAACUCUGUGCCAGCAGCCGCGGUAAUACAGAGGUCCCAAGCGUUGUUCGGAUUCAUUGGGCGUAAAGGGUGCGUAGGUGGCGCUGUAAGUCGGGUGUGAAAUUUCGGAGCUUAACUCCGAAACUGCAUUCGAUACUGCGGUGCUUGAGGACUGGAGAGGAGACUGGAAUUCAUGGUGUAGCAGUGAAAUGCGUAGAGAUCAUGAGGAAGACCAGUGGCGAAGGCGGGUCUCUGGACAGUUCCUGGCACUGAGGCACGAAGGCCAGGGGAGCAAACGGGAUUAGAUACCCCCGUAGU
RNAcentral lists this ribosomal RNA (454 nucleotides) under uncultured organism. RNAcentral's name for it is "bacterial SSU rRNA". It matches the Rfam family "Bacterial small subunit ribosomal RNA", at positions 346 to 794 of the family's 1533-position model. The record is from RNAcentral.